Molecule: ribosomal RNA, 252 nt
Filed under: uncultured bacterium
Lineage: Bacteria
Description: partial 16S ribosomal RNA
Rfam family: Bacterial small subunit ribosomal RNA
Source: RNAcentral
UACGUAGGUCCCGAGCGUUGUCCGGAUUUAUUGGGUUUAAAGGGUGCGUAGGCGGACUGUCAAGUCAGCGGUAAAAUUAAGAGGCUCAACCUCUUCCCGCCGUUGAAACUGGUGGUCUUGAGUGGAUGAGAAGUACGCGGAAUGCGUGGUGUAGCGGUGAAAUGCAUAGAUAUCACGCAGAACUCCGAUUGCGAAGGCAGCGUACCGGCAUCCAACUGACGCUGAGGCACGAAAGCGUGGGGAUCAAACAGG